AUGACUUUAGAGAAUAUGAAAGGUAUUGAGAAGUCUAAGAGAGAUUUAAGAGAGAUUAGAGUGUUUAAGAGAAAGUGUAUGAGAUUAUCAUGAUGAACUAGAGAGAGAGAGACUCAUAAACUCAUGUAUAUCAUUAAUCAAGCAGAUUACAAGUUAUAUAGUAAGGGAGAGAGACACUAGGUUAAACAUUAGGGAAAGCAUAAGCAUGUGGAGUCAAAGGGGAAGAGGAGCGUCCAUUUGAAAGGAUCCAAUGGGAGAGCUUACACGCUUUGGUAUCUUGGCAUCUAAGACCAAGAUGCUGUUUGCUUUACAGCCUGGAACAGCUAGAGACGCGCUGGUCUUCUUCCCUUAACGGACUGAUCAGGAUAAGGCUGUAACAAGGUUAAUCUCUCACGGUAACUCCACUUGGGUAACUUUAGGAUGAUUCUCUUAUAGGAUGAUCCCCUUUCCCUAAGUGUACGGCCUCACUUGUACGGCCUUGGCUUGUACGGACAUCCCUCAUGUACUGAUUCCUUAUUCAGAAUCCUCUCAUCCCUUCAUGCCUUCACCUUGAUGUCUCUUCUCUCCUUUUAUUUAACACUCCCCCUCAAGCUUAGACUCUUGCAAAGCUAAGCUUGGAAAGGCCAUGAGAUCUUCCUCAUUAAAAACCUCAUCAAAGAAAACCCAUUGGGACAAAACUUUGAUGAGGGAAAAAGAGUGAAGAACUCAUGGCUAAGGGGACUCAGCCACUUGGUGUGAGAUCCAGGAGUCCUAGCCUGAUGUGAAUGGACUCCAUGGUCUUCUGUCUCGCGGCUUUGGUAAAGACAUCAGCUAACUGAUCCUCACUCCUUGUAUAGCAUGGCAAGAUUACUCCCAAGACAAUC
Molecule: long non-coding RNA, 863 nt
Filed under: Brassica napus (rape)
Lineage: Eukaryota; Viridiplantae; Streptophyta; Magnoliopsida; Brassicales; Brassicaceae
Description: long non-coding RNA (BNAP_LNC003230)
Source: RNAcentral